CUACGGGGUGCUCCAGUGGGGAAUAUUGCGCAAUGGGCGAAAGCCUGACGCAGCAACGCCGCGUGAGUGAUGAAGGCCUUCGGGUCGUAAAGCUCUGUCGGGAGGGAAGAACACCUUCGGGUCUGACGGUACCUCCCGAGGAAGCACAGGCUAACUCCGUGCCAGCAGCCGCGGUAAUGACGGAGUGUGCAAGCGUUGUUCGGAAUUACUGGGCGUAAAGCGCGCGUAGGCGGCUUGAUAAGUCAGAUGUGAAAUCCCUCGGCUUAACCGAGGAACUGCAUUUGAAACUGUCAGGCUUGAGUACGGGAGGGGGAGGCGGAAUUCCCAGUGUAGAGGUGAAAUUCGUAGAUAUUGGGAGGAACACCAGCGGCGAAGGCGGCUUCCUGGACCGAUACUGACGCUGAGGCGCGAAAGCGUGGGGAGCAAACAGGAUUAGAUACCCUGGUAGUC
RNAcentral lists this ribosomal RNA (450 nucleotides) under uncultured bacterium. RNAcentral's name for it is "partial 16S ribosomal RNA". It matches the Rfam family "Bacterial small subunit ribosomal RNA", at positions 339 to 795 of the family's 1533-position model. The record is from RNAcentral.